RNAcentral lists this ribosomal RNA (253 nucleotides) under uncultured bacterium. RNAcentral's name for it is "partial 16S ribosomal RNA". It matches the Rfam family "Bacterial small subunit ribosomal RNA", at positions 524 to 776 of the family's 1533-position model. The record is from RNAcentral.
UACGUAGGGUGCGAGCGUUGUCCGGAAUCACUGGGCGUAAAGGGUGCGUAGGCGGGUCUUUAAGUCAGGGGUGAAAUCCUGGAGCUCAACUCCAGAACUGCCUUUGAUACUGAGGAUCUUGAGUCCGGGAGAGGUGAGUGGAACUGCGAGUGUAGAGGUGAAAUUCGUAGAUAUUCGCAAGAACACCAGUGGCGAAGGCGGCUCACUGGCCCGGUACUGACGCUGAGGCACGAAAGCGUGGGGAGCAAACAGG